Molecule: ribosomal RNA, 381 nt
Filed under: uncultured marine Chaetocerotaceae
Lineage: Eukaryota; Bacillariophyta; Thalassiosirophyceae; Chaetocerotales; Chaetocerotaceae
Description: SSU rRNA
Rfam family: Eukaryotic small subunit ribosomal RNA
Source: RNAcentral
AGCUCCAAUAGCGUAUAUUAAAGUUGCUGCAGUUAAAAAGCUCGUAGUUGCAUUUCCGAGGCAAGGGAUUAGUCCGACCUUUGGUGGGUAUUUAAUCCUCUUGCCUCGUCCUUGAGUGGUGCUUCUUGGUAUUAAGUUAUCGAGGAGAUAGCCGCUCAUCGUUUACUGUGAGAAAAUUAGAGUGUUCAAAGCAGGCUUAUGCCGUUGAAUAUAUUAGCAUGGAAUAAUAAGAUAGGACCUCGGUACUAUUGUGUUGGUUUGAGAACCAAGGUAAUGAUGAAUAGGGACAGUUGGGGGUAUGCGUAUUCAGUUGUCAGAGGUGAAAUUCUUAGAUUUACGGAAGACGAACUACUGCGAAAGCAUUUACCAAGGAUGUUUUCA